Molecule: ribosomal RNA, 257 nt
Filed under: uncultured bacterium
Lineage: Bacteria
Description: partial 16S ribosomal RNA
Rfam family: Bacterial small subunit ribosomal RNA
Source: RNAcentral
GUCCACACGGUAAACGAUGGAUGCUCGCUGUUGGCCUUGUUGGUCAGUGGCUUAGGGAAACCGUUAAGCAUCCCACCUGGGGAGUACGCCGGCAACGGUGAAACUCAAAGGAAUUGACGGGGCCCGCACAAGCGGAGGAGCAUGUGGUUUAAUUCGAAGCAACGCGCAGAACCUUACCACCUUUUGACAUGCCUGGACCGCCACAGAGAUGUGGUUUCCCUUCGGGGACUAGGACACAGGUGCUGCAUGGCUGUCGU